RNAcentral lists this ribosomal RNA (495 nucleotides) under uncultured bacterium. RNAcentral's name for it is "bacterial SSU rRNA". It matches the Rfam family "Bacterial small subunit ribosomal RNA", at positions 899 to 1397 of the family's 1533-position model. The record is from RNAcentral.
ACUCAAAGGAAUAGACGGGGGCCCGCACAAGCGGUGGAGCAUGUGGUUUAAUUCGAUGCAACGCGAAGAACCUUACCAAGGCUUGACAUGGCAGUGAACGGCGCAGAGAUGUGCCUUUCUUCGGACACUGCACACAGGUGGUGCAUGGUUGUCGUCAGCUCGUGUCGUGAGAUGUUGGGUUAAGUCCCGCAACGAGCGCAACCCUUACGUUUAGUAGCUAACAUUAAGUUGAGCACUUUAGACGGACUGCCGUGGAUAACACGGAGGAAGGUGGGGAUGAGGUCAAAUCAGCAUGCCCUUUAUGCCUUGGGCUACACACGUGCUACAAUGGCUACCACAAAGUGACGCGAAGUCGCGAGACGGAGCAAACCACAAAAAAGUGGCCACAGUUCGGAUUGCAGGCUGCAACUCGCCUGCAUGAAGCUGGAAUCGCUAGUAAUCGCGAAUCAGAAUGUCGCGGUGAAUACGUUCCCGGGCCUUGUACACACCGCCCGU